This 497-nucleotide ribosomal RNA is filed under the name uncultured bacterium. Its description in RNAcentral is "partial 16S ribosomal RNA". It matches the Rfam family "Bacterial small subunit ribosomal RNA", at positions 28 to 507 of the family's 1533-position model. The record is from RNAcentral.
GAUGAACGCUGGCGGCGUGCCUAAUACAUGCAAGUCGAGCGAACAGAUAAGGAGCUUGCUCCUUUGACGUUAGCGGCGGACGGGUGAGUAACACGUGGGUAACCUACCUAUAAGACUGGGAUAACUUCGGGAAACCGGAGCUAAUACCGGAUAAUAUUUCGAACCGCAUGGUUCGAUAGUGAAAGAUGGUUUUGCUAUCACUUAUAGAUGGACCCGCGCCGGAUUAGCUAGUUGGUAAGGUAACGGCUUACCAAGGCGACGAUACGUAGCCGACCUGAGAGGGUGAUCGGCCACACUGGAACUGAGACACGGUCCAGACUCCUACGGGAGGCAGCAGUAGGGAAUAUUCCGCAAUGGGCGAAAGCCUGACGGAGCAACGCCGCGUGAGUGAUGAAGGUCUUCGGAUCGUAAAACUCUGUUAGUAGGGAAGAACAUACGUGUAAGUAACUGUGCACGUCUUGACGGUACCUAAUCAGAAAGCCACGGCUAACUACGUG